AUACACAAAUUAAAAUUAAAACCAAAACCAAAACCAAGUUGAAGGUGUGUUUGGCAGAAUGAGUUCACAGAAGAUAAGCAUUCAGAAUGUUCUUGCUCCUACAACAAGGCCACCUCCUAAAUCCAAACCUCCAACCACUGGGACUAAGUUGCCCACUGUCCAACAGGUUUUCGCUACCAAACCAAAAUGAUUUCAUACCAUUUUCUUACAUUACAUUCUAUCAUCAAGGUUCUAUUAGAAGCUAUUUUGAAGGUCCAAGGAAUCAAUUUGUUUCUUGUUCUUCACAAUAACUAUCGCAUAUAUAUUUUUUAUUCAGUUUAUUUUUAUAUUCAAUUGUUUGAUUGUUCAAUAUUUCAUCAUAAUUUACCAAUAUUUAUGUCUAGAAAUAUAGGAUAUCAUCUAGCAUAUCAUAUAGGAUAUGCUGUUUAUGUAGUUAGUUUCCAUCUCUAUUAAAUCAACAAAUCAAUAAAACAUAAAUUAUUCUCUCCGAUUAUUUUUAAAUCUUUUAUUUUUAAUUUAUUGAAUUUUAUUUCAAGAACAAAUUGGUAUCAAAAGCGGUUAUCUUUGAGGAUAAGUGAGUUAAAAGAAACACCAAUGGAGGGAGACACAUACAAUAAGUUAUGGGUUGCAAUGGAUGAUCAACCAUCUUGAAGCAUUGGAUCAUUGGGAGGCACUAGAAAAAAAAUUAUUAUGUUUCUGAGUUGCCUGAAAAUCCAACUAUAGCUCAAAUGAAGUAUCAUAAAGAGGGGAAGAAAAAAAAGACAAAGACAAAAUAUUGUAUUUUUUCUUCUAUGUCAAAAGCUAUUUUUACAUGAAUUAUAAAUUUCAAAUUUUUCUAAAGAGAUUUGAGAUUAUCUUUAA
RNAcentral lists this long non-coding RNA (861 nucleotides) under Phaseolus vulgaris (common bean). RNAcentral's name for it is "long non-coding RNA (PVUL_LNC003398)". Lineage: Eukaryota; Viridiplantae; Streptophyta; Magnoliopsida; Fabales; Fabaceae. The record is from RNAcentral.